GUGUAUCGACUAAAAUAGGAGAGGAACAGCUUAAGGGAGAUUGACUUUACUGACUGGGAAGGUUAUAGGGGGUUGGGGGCUAGGCGUAGCCCCUUCCUUUGGAUAGCACAGCUAUAGCAGGACAAUAGAAGAAGGGAUGGGCAGUGUAGAUAAGCUGCAACUAGCUGAUCCUAAAUAGGCUAGCACAGGGAUUGGCCAGGAGGGGGAGAGGGGGUAUGAACAGGAGUUGAGGAAAUUAACUGCCUAUAAAGAUGAUUGCACAAUGCUUGGAGCUCACAAUAAUUAUUUUCUUUUUUCAGAGCAGAGCAGUUUUCUUUGUUGCAGAAAUGGCUCCAAGGAACAGGAUAAUUGCUAAGAAAUUGGGAAAGAACUUUGUAUACUGAAGUCUCAUUCAUUGUUACAUUUCUAGCUGAAAUGACGAAGCCUAGCCCAAGGAAGAGGUCACGCACAAGAGCGAUCACAAGCGACACGGCUAAGGGCAGAUGCUGUGGUGUUUCCGACACUCAGAUUAAGACCGCCCGUGUAGCGCCCCUUAAGGGUUUUUUUGCCACGAAGCAGGAAAUCAGCUACUGGUCUGUCGGUCAGAGCUGGUGGAUGGCAUAGAGAAAUCAUGGCAUUUUUAGUGGUAUAUUUCAUGACGCGGCGGGAAGUGGGCGUCCUGGCACGUGGGUAAUGCAGUAAUGGGGGGAGGUGUGUAGGGUACGGGGGCGGGGUAUUGGUCUGUCGGUCAAACCCACAAGCCCUCCUAGUCUGCAGACCUUUCGGCCCGUUACUAGCAAAUUGACGCCCCUGAGUUGCGCGCGGUCACGCUCCUUGGUUACGUGGGGACGCCCAGUUCUCUCGUCAUGCUGUUGCAUGAAUUGUGUUAUCAAUUCAAAUCCAAAUUGGAUUAAGGAUAUGUUAUUAUCCUAGUAGUUGAGGAUCGCUCAUUUUUCAUAAUUUAGAUUUGAAUUUAAUAAAUGUGACCUUUUCUAACGCCAAA
Long non-coding RNA from Bombina bombina (fire-bellied toad), 982 nucleotides. RefSeq lists it as uncharacterized. The record is from RefSeq and is a predicted model, not a curated record. NCBI's taxonomy places the organism in Eukaryota, Metazoa, Chordata, Amphibia, Anura, Bombinatoridae. The transcript has 2 exons.